Molecule: ribosomal RNA, 474 nt
Filed under: Helotiales sp. olrim146
Lineage: Eukaryota; Fungi; Ascomycota; Leotiomycetes; Helotiales
Description: eukaryotic LSU rRNA
Rfam family: 5.8S ribosomal RNA (bases 152-305)
Source: RNAcentral
CCUCGGGGUAGAUCUCCCACCCUUUGUUUACUAUUACCUUUGUUGCUUUGGCAGGCCCGCCCUCGGGCCACCGGCUUCGGCUGGUCAGCGCCUGCCAGAGACCCCAAAACUCUUGUUAUUUAAUGUCGUCUGAGUACUAUAUAAUAGUUAAAACUUUCAACAACGGAUCUCUUGGUUCUGGCAUCGAUGAAGAACGCAGCGAAAUGCGAUAAGUAAUGUGAAUUGCAGAAUUCAGUGAAUCAUCGAAUCUUUGAACGCACAUUGCGCCCUCUGGUAUUCCGGGGGGCAUGCCUGUUCGAGCGUCAUUACAACCCUCAAGCUCUGCUUGGUAUUGGGCCUCGCCGGUUCUGGCGGGCCUUAAAAUCAGUGGCGGUGCCAUUCGGCUUCAAGCGUAGUAAUUCUUCUCGCUUCUGGAGACCCGGGUGUGUGCUUGCCAGCAACCCCCCAAUUUUAUCAAAGGUUUGACCUCGGAUC